CGUUUCUUUCUGUUCCGUCAUUCUUGCCAGCUUUCUGAAAAGACUUCGACAUGUCGACGAAAAUGUAUUUUAUUAUUUUACUGAUGUUCGGAUUUUUCGUGAUAUCGAGCAGUGGAAUUAGUGUCUGUAUCUCAACGCUUUGUAUUAGCUCUCGACAAGGAAAAAGGAUUCGAGGUUUGAAGCAUUCUAAGCAAUCUCGCAACACAGAAGAGGUACCAAAGAUGCAAUCUAACGACAUGUUACCACGAGGCCUAGUAAGUUAAACCAAAA
Molecule: long non-coding RNA, 270 nt
Organism: Papilio machaon (common yellow swallowtail)
Lineage: Eukaryota; Metazoa; Arthropoda; Insecta; Lepidoptera; Papilionidae
Exons: 3
Source: RefSeq, a predicted model, not a curated record